This 101-nucleotide microRNA precursor is filed under the name Marmota monax (woodchuck). Lineage: Eukaryota; Metazoa; Chordata; Mammalia; Rodentia; Sciuridae. The record is from RNAcentral.
AGUGGAAUUGCUGGAUCACAUGGUAAUUGUGUUAUGCUUUUUGAGGAACUUUCAUACUAUUUUCCAUAGAAGCCAUACCAUGUUACCUUUUCACCAGCAUU